Molecule: ribosomal RNA, 460 nt
Filed under: uncultured bacterium
Lineage: Bacteria
Description: partial 16S ribosomal RNA
Rfam family: Bacterial small subunit ribosomal RNA
Source: RNAcentral
CCUACGGGUGGCAGCAGUGAGGAAUAUUGGUCAAUGGACGAGAGUCUGAACCAGCCAAGUAGCGUGAAGGAUGACUGCCCUAUGGGUUGUAAACUUCUUUUAUAAAGGAAUAAAACGAGGCACGUGUGCCUUUUUGCAUGUACUUUAUGAAUAAGGAUCGGCUAACUCCGUGCCAGCAGCCGCGGUAAUACGGAGGAUCCGAGCGUUCUCCGGAUUUAUUGGGUUUAAAGUGAGCGUAGAUGGGUUGUUAAGUCAGUUGUGAAAGUUUGCGGCUCAACCGUAAAAUUGCAAUUGAUACUGGCAGUCGUGAGUACAGUUGAGGUAGGCGGAAUUCGUGGUGUAGCGGUGAAAUGCUUAGAUAUCACGAAGAACCCCGAUUGCGAAGGCAGCUUACUAAACUGUGACUGACAUUGAUGCUCGAAAGUGUGGGUAUCAAACAGGAUGAGAUACCCCUGUAGUC